GACGAACGCUGGCGGCGCGCUUAACACAUGCAAGUCGAACGGAAAGGCCUGCUUUCCCUUGUGGAUUGCGGGUACUCGAGUGGCGAACGGGUGAGUAACACGUGAGUGAUCUGCCCCCAACUUGGGUAUAAGCCUGGGAAACUGGGUCUAAUUCCCGAUAGGACUGCAGGGUGGUGCCUGUGGUGGAAAACGAUUUUCUAGUGGUUGGGGAUGGGCUCGCGGCCUAUCAGCUUGUUGGUGGGGUAAUGGCCUACCAAGGCGGCGACGGGUAGCCGGCCUGAGAGGGUGGACGGCCACAUUGGGACUGAGAUACGGCCCAGACUCCUACGGGAGGCAGCAGUGGGGAAUAUUACACAAUGGGCGGAAGCCUGAUGCAGCGACGCCGCGUGGGGGAUGACGGCCUUCGGGUUGUAAACUCCUUUCGACCGCGAGGAAGCCACCUGGUUGGAAGGGUGGUGACGGUAGUGGUAGAAGAAGCACCGGCUAACUACGUG
RNAcentral lists this ribosomal RNA (494 nucleotides) under uncultured bacterium. RNAcentral's name for it is "partial 16S ribosomal RNA". It matches the Rfam family "Bacterial small subunit ribosomal RNA", at positions 28 to 507 of the family's 1533-position model. The record is from RNAcentral.